RNAcentral lists this ribosomal RNA (424 nucleotides) under uncultured Planctomycetaceae bacterium. RNAcentral's name for it is "partial 16S ribosomal RNA". It matches the Rfam family "Bacterial small subunit ribosomal RNA", at positions 355 to 774 of the family's 1533-position model. The record is from RNAcentral. Lineage: Bacteria; Pseudomonadati; Planctomycetota; Planctomycetia; Planctomycetales; Planctomycetaceae.
UCGAGAAUCUUCGGCAAUGGGCGCAAGCCUGACCGAGCGACGCCGCGUGCGGGAUGAAGGCCUUCGGGUUGUAAACCGCUGUCGAGGGGAAUGAAGUGUAGGUGGGUACUCCCAUCUAUUUGACAGAUCCCUGGAGGAAGCAUGGGCUAAGUUCGUGCCAGCAGCCGCGGUAAGACGAACCAUGCAAACGUUAUUCGGAUUCACUGGGCUUAAAGCGUGCGUAGGCGGCGGUGUUAGUCAGGUGUGAAAGCCCUCAGCCCAACUGAGGAAUUGCGCUUGAUACUGCAUCGCUAGAGAAUGAUAGAGGUGGGUGGAACUGAUGGUGGAGCGGUGAAAUGCGUUGAUAUCAUCAGGAACACCAGUGGCGAAGGCGACCCACUGGGUCAUUUCUGACGCUGAGGUACGAAAGCUAGGGUAGCGAACG